AUUGAACGCUGGCGGCGUGCCUAACACAUGCAAGUCGAGCGGUAACAGGUGUAGCAAUACAUGCUGACGAGCGGCGGACGGGUGAGUAACGCUUGGGAAUCUGCCUGUUAGUGGGGACAACCCGGGAACUCGGGCUAAUACCGCAUACGCACUACGGUGGAAAGCCGGGGACCGCAAGGCCUGGCGCUAACAGAUGAGCCCAAGUCGGAUUAGCUAGUUGGUAGGGUAACGGCCACCAAGGCGACGAUCCGUAACUGGUCUGAGAGGACGACCAGUCACACCGGAACUGAGACACGGUCCGGACUCCUACGGGAGGCAGCAGGUGGGGAAUAAUUGGACAAUGGGACGAAAGCCUGAUCCAGCGACGCCGCGU
This 373-nucleotide ribosomal RNA is filed under the name uncultured bacterium. RNAcentral describes it as "bacterial SSU rRNA". It matches the Rfam family "Bacterial small subunit ribosomal RNA", at positions 29 to 402 of the family's 1533-position model. The record is from RNAcentral.